RNAcentral lists this long non-coding RNA (325 nucleotides) under Brassica napus (rape). Its description in RNAcentral is "long non-coding RNA (BNAP_LNC010392)". Lineage: Eukaryota; Viridiplantae; Streptophyta; Magnoliopsida; Brassicales; Brassicaceae. The record is from RNAcentral.
GUUGGGUUGAUUAAGUUCAGUUUCAUGAUCUAGUUCCUUCGCAUGUUAGUUUCGUGUGAUUCUUUGUUGUGAUGAUGUGUUGGGUUGAUUAAAUUCUGUUUCUUUUAUUGAUGAUGAUGAUCGUUGAUGGUUUCUUUGAUAUUGUUUCGGCGAUAGCUUUGUAGUUGAUAUGGUUUAUGUAAUUUCUUGUUAGGAAACUUGAUAGGUUUUAGAUUUGUAUUGAAGUUUAGUAUAUAUUAUUGCCUCGAAUGCUUGUUGUUUUUGAUUUUCUUGAACGAAAGUUGAUAUGUUUGUAGUUCGGAUUUGAAGUUACGUAUAUGAAAUU